ACGACCCCAGGUCAGGCAAGAUUACCCAUUGAGUUUAAGCAUAUCAAUAAGUGGAGGAAAAGAAACGUACAAAGAUUCCCCUAGUAACGACGAGAGAACCGGCAACAACCUAGCUUGAAAAUCAUGUGGCGUCGCCAUUCAAAUUAUAGUCUACAAAAGCGUCCUUAGCGGGGGACUGGGCCUAAGUCCCCUAAAAGGGGGCACCGGAGAGGGUGCGAGCCCCGUCAUGCCCAGACCCUGUUACAACAUGAGGCACUGCUGGCGAGUCGGUUAUUUGGGAAUGCAGCCCCAAUUGGGCGAUAAAUCCCAUCCAAGGCUAAAUAUGGGCGAGAGACCAAUAGCAAACAAGUACCGCGAGGGAAAGAUGAAAAGGACUUUGAAAAGAAAGUCAAAGAGUGCUUGAAAUUUUCAGAAUAGAAGUGGAUGGGGGCCAGCGAUGUGCGUCGCGGAGACGCUUUUGCCUCGAUCGUAGCUGGCAGUGCACACCUUUGGCGAGCCUCGACAUCUAUGCACUCUCGACGCCAGCCAACGUGUUCCCUAUCUGACCCAUCUUGAAACAUGGACCAAGGAGUUUGACAUGUGUGCAAGUCAACGAGCGAGUAAACCAUUAAGGCGCAAGGAAGCUGAUUGCUAGGAUCCCUCAGCGGGUUGCGCCGUCGACCGACCUUCAUCUUUUGAGAAGGGUUUGAGUAUGAGCAUGCCUGUUGGGACCCGAAAGACGAUGAAUUAUGCCCAAGUAGGGUGAAGCCAGAGGAAAUUCUAGUGGAGGCCCGCAGUGAUACUGACAUGCAAAUCGUUCGUUUGACUUGGGUAUAGGGGCGAAAGAUUAAUCGAACCAUCUAUUAGUGGUUCCCUCUAAAGUUUCCCUAAGGAUAGAUAGAGCCCGGGUGUGAGUUAUAUCAGGUAAAUCCAAUGAUUAGAGGCAUCAGGAGCGCAACACCCUUGGCUUAUUCUCAAACUUGAAAUAGGUAGGAUGGCACAGUUGCUCCGGUGAGCGGGGCCACAGAAUUGAGGGCACCAAGCGGGCCAUUUUUGGUAAGCAGAACUGGCGAUGUGGGAUGAACCGAAAGCCGGGUUACAGUGCCCAACUGUGCACUAACCUAGAACCCACAAUGUGUAUUGGUCGAUAAUGAUAGCAGGACGGUGGUCAUGGAAGUCAAAAUCCGCUAAGGAGUGUGUAACAACUCAUCUACUGAAACUAGCCUCGAAAAUGGAUGGCGCCGAAGCACUGACCUAUACUCGACCGUUGAGGCAAGUGCCAAGCCCCGAUGAGUAGAAGGGCGCAAGGGUCGCUACAAAACCUUGGGCGCGAGCGGCCAUUAAUGCGGAUGUUGGUGGUAGUAGCAAAUAUUCAAAUGAACUUUGAAGGCUAAAGAGGGAAAAGGUUCCAUGUUAAAGACACUUACACAUGGGUUAGUCGAUCCUAAGAGUCGGGGGAAGCCCAACAGAGAGCGCGUCCAGUGAGCGAAUCGAAAGGGAUUCGGGUUAAAAUUCCUGAACCAAGAUGCGACGGCUGACAGCAACGUUAGGGUGUCCAGAGGCAUUGACAGAGGCCUUGAGAUGAGUUAUUUUUUCUGUUUAACAGCUUGCUUACCCUAGAAACAGCUUAGUUAAAGGUAGGAUCGAGCGGCUGGAAGAGCACCGCACAUCACUUGGUGUACAUUGCACCCCUGACGACCCUUGAAACUCCAGAGGACUGAGUACCUCCCACGGCUGGUCGUACUCAUAAUCGCAUCAGGUCUCCAACGUGAAUAGCCUCUGGCCGAUGGAACAAUGUAGGCAAGGGAAGUUGGCAAAAUGGAUUCGUAACUUCGGAAAAGGAUUGGCUCUGAGAGCUGGCACAGGGGUCCCAGUCCUAAACUGGUCGGCUGUCAGUUGACUACUCGAGCUACUGCCACGGUGAGAGUAAGUGGUCACGUGCCGGAAAAUGGGCCAGGACUGGGAAUAACUCUUUGCGGGGCCUUCCCUUGGCAUCGAACAAUCGACUCAGAACUAGUACGGAUAAGAGGAAUCUAACUAUUUAAUUAAAACAAAGCAUUAUGAUGGUGCCUGCGGAUGUUCACGCAAUGUGAUUUCUGCCUAGUGCUUUGAAUGUCAAAGUGAAGAAAUUCAACGAAGCGCGAGUAAACAGUAGGAGUAACUAUGACUCUCUUAAGGUAGCCAAAUGCCUCGUCAUCUAAUUAGUGACGCGCAUGAAUGGAUUAACGAGAUUUCCACUGUCCCUGUCUACUAUCCAGCGAAACCAUAGCCAAGGAAACGGGUUUGGCAGAAAAUCAGUAGGGAAAGAAGACUCUGUUGAGCUUAACUCUAGUCCGACUUUGUGAAAUGACUUGAGAGGUUAUAAGACCAGAAACGGUGAAAGUGAAAUACCACUACUUUCAACGUUAUUUCACUUAUUCCAUGAGUUAGAGGCAGCGCCCUACCCCUCAUUUUGGACCGAAGGCCUACUUUGGUGGGCUGAUCCGGGUAAAAGACAUUGUCUGGUAGGAAGUUUUGCUGGGGCCGCACAUCUAUUAAAAGAUAAUGCAUGCGUUCUAAGAUAAGCUCAACGAGAAUAAAAAUCUUGUGUGGAACAGAAGCGUAAAACCUUGUUUGAUUCUACUUUCCAGUAUGAAUAUGAACUGUGAAAGUGUGGCCUAACGAUCCUUUAGACCUUCAGAAUUUGAAGUUAGAGGUGUUAGAAAAAUUACCACAGGGAUAAACCGGCUUGUGGCAGCCAAGCGUUCAUAGAGACAUUGCUUUUUGAUCCUUCGAUGUCUACUCUUCCUAUCAAUGUGAAGUAGAAUUCACCAAGUGUUGGAUUGUUCCCCCACCAAUAGGGAACGUAAGUUGGGUUUAGACCGUUGUGAGACAAGUCUGUUUUACCCUAUUAAGGAUAGUGUCGCAAUAAUAAUUCAACCUAGUACGAGAGGAACCAUUGAUUUGCACAAUUGGUCAUCGCGCUUGGUUGAAAAACUAGUGGCACGAAGCUACCAUGCGCUUGAUUAUGGCUGAAUGCCUAUAAGUCCGAAUCCAGGUGAGAAGCGAUGCAUGCGCCCGCUGUUCAUUUGCCGACCAACAGUAGGUGCCAUUCGGCCCCUAAAGGCAUGUGUCGUAGGUGAAACUCACGCGACAAACGAGCCUCGCGGGCCAACUUAAAAGUAUAAUCCCUAUU
This is a ribosomal RNA of 3154 nucleotides. It matches the Rfam family "Eukaryotic large subunit ribosomal RNA".